AUCGUGAUGAGGUAACUGCGCAAAGAAAAUCGGAAACCUCCCCCCAUAUCAGCACGGUUUCCUUCCUCGUCUCUGGAUUCAUCGCAUGCCCGGCGGCGGUGGCGGAGGCAUCAUCACGACCUGAGCAAGGGAAAUCCGGCUGGUAGAUUCUCCAAAUCCGGCUGGUUCGUGGUGGCAACAAUCCUGCGAGUUCAUCUAAAUACACAUUUUACUUCGGUGGAGGAUAUACCAAAUGAAGCUAUGCCAGCCUUUUGAGUUGAAAUGGAAAAAAUACGUCUAGAAAAGGAAAAUUAAGAUGCUAAAAUCAUGGAACUAGAAGAGAAGAUGAGAAGAAUGGAAAGACAACCAGAUAAGGUAAAUUUUUAUCAACUGUAACCUUCAUUUAUUUUGUAGGAUAACCUUUCUGUAUUUCUAUCAUAGGAAAUUUCGGAUCCAAUGGCUGCAAGCCUACAACUGGGCUUGAACCUUCAGAUCAUGGACAUAAUUCAAAC
This is a long non-coding RNA of Triticum urartu, 491 nucleotides long. RefSeq lists it as uncharacterized. The record is from RefSeq and is a predicted model, not a curated record. Lineage: Eukaryota; Viridiplantae; Streptophyta; Magnoliopsida; Poales; Poaceae.